GAUGAACGCUGGCGGCGUGCUUAACACAUGCAAGUCGAACGGGAAUUAUUUUAUUGAAACUUCGGUCGAUUUCAUUUAAUUCUAGUGGCGGACGGGUGAGUAACGCGUGGGUAACCUGCCUUAUACAGGGGGAUAACAGUCAGAAAUGGUUGCUAAUACCGCAUAAGCGCACAGAGCUGCAUGGCUCAGUGUGAAAAACUCCGGUGGUAUAAGAUGGACCCGCGUUGGAUUAGCUUGUUGGCAGGGUAACGGCCUACCAAGGCGACGAUCCAUAGCCGGCCUGAGAGGGUGAACGGCCACAUUGGGACUGAGACACGGCCCAGACUCCUACGGGAGGCAGCAGUGGGGAAUAUUGCACAAUGGGGGAAACCCUGAUGCAGCGACGCCGCGUGAAGGAAGAAGUAUCUCGGUAUGUAAACUUCUAUCAGCAGGGAAGAUAGUGACGGUACCUGACUAAGAAGCCCCGGCUAACUACGUG
Molecule: ribosomal RNA, 478 nt
Filed under: uncultured bacterium
Lineage: Bacteria
Description: partial 16S ribosomal RNA
Rfam family: Bacterial small subunit ribosomal RNA
Source: RNAcentral